UUCGCAUCAUUUUUUUCCCCCAAGAGGAUAAAAGUAUUCUUGGACAUAUAUGUGGAAACGGUGUCUAAGCUUUUAGCCUCUGAGUGGACGUUUCCCAUCUUUUGACUGACAACUGAGAACCGGCAUUGCUAGGCGAUGCACUAGCGUCAACUUCUGUGGUGCGCUACUGACUGCAAGAUAUCAUAGCCGUGUAACUUUAAAGUCCUUAAAUAUUGAUACAAGUUCUUUUUUUUUAAGUCUUUGUUUUCCAAUCGAAAAGUGGAAGCUAGCAAGCUAGGCUAAAUAGCGUCUACUCUGAAAGUGGAAACUAGCUGGCUUGCUAACAUUAGCACUGAUUCCCGCAAGAAUGUUAACUUUUCGUUAUCAGUGGGGGUUUUGCGUGUCACCUGCAGCCCCCACACUCUGCGUUCGUCCUGGAUUUAGGCAAAGGAAGACGUCUUGCUCGUGUUAGCUGUCUCUCUUUAGGAUAGUUCCAGAAGUGGAAACGGUAAAAUGCUAAAUGACCAGAGUGUCGAAAACUCCACACCAUUGAGUAGUCUUGUUCACGGCGCUUCAUACGUUAUGGCGAGAUUGUAAUAACGACCAAGAGUGACUAAUGUACAGAGUUACGUAGGGACUAGGGAGUGUUCAAAUCACAGAUGGAACUGAGCCAGUGGUUACCAAACUUUAAAACAUCCCCUAUUCAUUUUCAUGAAAAAAUGUACAGUUUACAAAGUGAAAAUAAAUGUGGCGGCACUCUUACGGUACCUCAGCGUGUCUCUGUCCCCACUGUGGGAACCACUGAACAAAGAAACGGCUAACAAAGUCCACCCCUGGCUGUUUAACUGCCUGUUAUUGUUGGAAUUGAAGCAAUGAUGAGAAAUAUAUUAAGGGCCAGCUCGCACAGAUAUUGUAUAAAACCGAUUACAAGUACCGACAUCAACAGUUGGUACCAAAAAUUCACUAAUGUAGGGGGCGCCAUUGUUGAAGAAAAAUAAAAAACUCAAUUACUCAUUUUUAGUAAUUAAAAGUCUGAACUAAUUCGUACUCAAGGCAAACACCUAGGAUGUAUGAAGUGAUUUAUUUGUGAAUUUUUUUUUUUAUUUCAGUUUGCUUUAAUGUUGGGUUAACAGAAAUGAAAUGUGUUGCUUGUUUUGUUUUACCUUCAGUCAACCUCGACUCUGUGUUGCUCCCUGGAAGGUAUUUGCUGUCUAACGUUAGUGUUUUCUAAAGCUGCUGUUGAAAUAGCAUUCAGGUAUGAAAGACCCUUAAUUUGCUCCUUUCCAAUCUACCCAUCAUCCCUCAGAGGCGAGCAUCCUCUUCCUCAUCCUCUUUUUGUCUCAAGUUUUUCUCGGGGCCCCUCGCGUUUCAGUGUGCUCAAAGCACUGACGGGGAAAACAAGAAAAACCAUAAAAAAAAAAAAAAUUCAGUAUUGUCAACAACACUGUGGCUACCACAUUUACAAAAUAAAGAACCAAAUAUUUUAGGAAGAUGACAUUGCAGCUGUGUGUUUGAAGCCUGUGUGUUUGUGCUCGCCACUUGAAGAGAAACAGGACUGCCGAGGCUUUCGCUAGACACGACAUCCAUCUUUUCCUCUAGUUUUUCCCAGGUGGGACCGAGCUUUUCUGUACAUUUUUUUUUUUUUUUGGUUUGUUUCUUUGUUGAUUACUUUUCCGAUCGCAAGCAGUCACGGCAUCCUUUUAGAAAACUUAGACAAAGUGUCUGUUGUCUCUUUCUGAGUAAGGUCUGAAACCUAUGCAUGCCAUAGUAAAGUGGUGGUAAGAUCAAGUUAGAUGUCUCUCUUAUUUUAUUCUUUUUGUUCCUCCUUCUUUUAGCCAGUUCACGGUGUAUAAGGAAGAUGUCAACCAGUAAGUUGUCGACUGCUGACUGUGUGUCCAUUUGGAGAAAAGAAAACAAAAAAAAGUGCAAUUUGUGUGAGGGUGAAAAGAUUUAUAUUAAAAGUGACAAAUGAUGAA
Sander lucioperca (pikeperch) is the source of this 1955-nucleotide long non-coding RNA. RefSeq lists it as uncharacterized. The record is from RefSeq and is a predicted model, not a curated record. The transcript has 2 exons. Lineage: Eukaryota; Metazoa; Chordata; Actinopteri; Perciformes; Percidae.